This 207-nucleotide ribosomal RNA is filed under the name uncultured bacterium. RNAcentral describes it as "partial 16S ribosomal RNA". It matches the Rfam family "Bacterial small subunit ribosomal RNA", at positions 568 to 774 of the family's 1533-position model. The record is from RNAcentral.
CGCGUAGGCGGCCAUGCGUGCCUCCCGUGAAAUCCCUCGGCUUAACUGAGGACGUGCGGGAGAAACUGCAAGGCUCGAGUCCGGGAGAGGGGGGUGGAAUUCCCAGUGUAGCGGUGAAAUGCGUAGAUAUUGGGAGGAACACCGGUGGCGAAGGCGGCCCCCUGGACCGGUACUGACGCUGAGGCGCGAAAGCGUGGGUAGCAAACG